Molecule: long non-coding RNA, 253 nt
Filed under: Lathyrus oleraceus (garden pea)
Lineage: Eukaryota; Viridiplantae; Streptophyta; Magnoliopsida; Fabales; Fabaceae
Description: Pisum sativum (pea) long non-coding RNA (PSAT_LNC022878)
Source: RNAcentral
GCUAGGUUGCAGAGACUUGGGAAAACUUUUGGAAAAUCGAUAUCGUUUUGACACCGUAAGUUUCUUAAUUAUAGGAACCAACCCGAAUACUUAUUAAGUUGUGGCCUUGAAAUCUCACCCUUGAAUUAAUCCUUAAGUAGUUUAUUUUAGCAGUCAACACCAUCUUAGCUACCACUACGUGAACAAGCUAAUGCAAAUAGGUGAAUGAUCCAGUAAAAAGAAAGAAAAAGAAAAAAAUACAUGUAGAAAAAAC